This 450-nucleotide ribosomal RNA is filed under the name uncultured bacterium. RNAcentral describes it as "partial 16S ribosomal RNA". It matches the Rfam family "Bacterial small subunit ribosomal RNA", at positions 29 to 523 of the family's 1533-position model. The record is from RNAcentral.
AACGAACGCCGGCGGCAUGCCUAACACAUGCAAGUCGAACGCGUGGAGCGGUCCACGAGUGGCGCACGGGUGAGUAACGCGUGGGAACCUGCCCUGGAGUGUGGGAUAACCCGGCGAAAGCCGGGCUAAUACCGCAUACGACCUGAGGGUGAAAGAUUUAUCGCUCUAGGAGGGGCCCGGGUCGGAUUAGCUAGUUGGUGAGGUAAUGGCUCACCAAGGCGAUGAUCCGUAGCUGGUCUGAGAGGAUGAUCAGCCACACCGGGACUGAGACACGGCCCAGACUCCUACGGGAGGCAGCAGGGGGAAUAUUGGACAAUGGGGGCAACCCUGAUCCAGCAAUGCCGCGUGGGCGAUGAAGGCCUUCGGGUUGUAAAGCCCUUUUGCACGCGACGAUGAUGACGGUAGCGUGAGAAGAAGCCCCGGCUAACUUCGUGCCAGCAGCCGCGGUAA